UUUUUUUUUUUCAUUACUUGCAAUCUUGGGCUGAAACUGGUCCCUAAAAUAUUCUGGAUAUUAUCGCUCAGUAACUCCUACCUCCUGAAUAAAAAACACCAAACCCCCAAACAAACAAAAAAACUCCCACCAUAACAAGAAAACCCAAACCAACCCAUCAACAACCCAAAACUAACAAAAAAAAAAAAAAAAAAAAAACCCAGCACAAAUGACAGAAACAAAACAAGGAUGAAAGAAGUAACUGAAGAUAUGCAUAGUGGUAGUACAGAAAAAAAAAAGUAUAAAACCCCACUUACCAUAAACCCUCAUAUUUCCCCUUAAUAUUAAUGGAUAAAAAUUUCAUCUAUUGGCCUGUGUGAAGUGUGACUUUUAGUAUUAACUGGCUAUAUAAUGUGGGAUAGAGAACUCAAGUAGAUGGGUGCCUUUAAAUUUGAAAUCCCUUUCCAAUUCCCUGGAAGUAACCUAAACCGCUAUCUGUCAUGUUGCCACUUUCUGCAGGAGUCACGUUUCAAAAUUUCUCUACCUGGACAUGGCUUCAGUUGUGUUUAAAUGACACGAAAAUCCAGAACUGAUUAAAAACUCACCAGCUGAAAAUCAAAGAAAAAUACCACAGGCCGAAAGACUUGAUGUGAAUGCAGGAAUUAAUAAAUCCAAGAGCUUCCAUUAUGGAAUGGAAAAAUUAGAAAAUAAUUAAGAAAAUAAUUUAAGAGCUGUGGCAAGCUUGACCUGUAUAUGCAAUUGCAACAGAGCAGAAUUAAACAUAUCAGUCACAGAGGAUGGUUCCUAGGAUAGAGAUGACUACACUGUACAUAUUUAUAACUGCACUUCACUCUUGUAUAAUGCAUAAAAGCUAGCUGUGCCCCAGGGUGAUAAUCAGUCUGUUGUCUGAACAUGGUAACUGUGUGCGUGCAUGACGGUGCCAGUUACACCAUUUCAGCAGGUUAUUUUUCAGCAAGGCAAUAUACAGACUGCUCUGGCCAGAACAAAUUAGACUGGUAUACUUACAUUACUACAUUAUUUUUGAGCCAUAUGUAGGUCCACAUCAACAAACACAUUCUGAAAUCAGGUCAGUAUUUCACACAUUUUUCGUCAAUCAGGUAUACAUAGAAUCAUAGAAUCACAGAAUAGUUUGGGUUGGAAAGGACCUUAACAUCAUCUAGUUCCAACCC
This 1169-nucleotide long non-coding RNA is filed under the name Strigops habroptila (Kakapo). RNAcentral describes it as "lncRNA (ENSSHBG00005003684.1)". Lineage: Eukaryota; Metazoa; Chordata; Aves; Psittaciformes; Psittacidae. The record is from RNAcentral.